RNAcentral lists this long non-coding RNA (2323 nucleotides) under Malus domestica (apple). RNAcentral describes it as "long non-coding RNA (MDOM_LNC016311)". Lineage: Eukaryota; Viridiplantae; Streptophyta; Magnoliopsida; Rosales; Rosaceae. The record is from RNAcentral.
AAAGAAGAAGAUUGAGGAUUGGGCAGUCGAGAGGAAAGAACAAAGGAAAAAAAAAUGGGAUUGGGCAAAACUGCCCAAUAUGAAAGAAGAAUGAAGGGAUGAAUCAGGAGAAGAGAGAAGGAGAGGAUGGCCAAUCGGAACAAAGAAAGGAGGAAAAGAGAGAGGGCGAGAAGCGGAGGAGAGAAGGAAGAAAAAUGGGUCUUCACCCGCGACCCGUUUCGACCGGCGACACCCACACCCAAAUUCCGACGAUUUUCACCGGAAUUCUCACAAAUUGGAUCAAGGUACCACUUCCAAUCAACACCUAGGCCUUCCCUCUUCAUGUUUCACCCCAAAAAUCAUGAAAUUUCGUGGUGAUUUUGCGAAGAACACCCACACGGGUGCCGCGACUUUCUUGUUCAAAAUUCGCCCAAUUUCGAAGCAAUUUCUUUCAAUUACUAACACCAUUAGCAUUCCCUUAGGACCUGGAACAAAGCCCAAGCAUUAGUUGGAGCAUCGGAGUGGUUUUGGAGGUCGAAUUGAAAACACCCAUUUCUAGGGUUCCGCACGGAUUUUGGUGAAAUUGGAGCUCUUCCAGGCCAAAUUGGCCUUGGCCUCAGGUAUAAAGUUUACUCUACUCAUUGAGAUCUUCAAUUCUGUAUUUUUUGAGAAUUUUUGGAAAUAGUUGGAUUUUCCGGCGAGCCGGGGCGGCCGACCGCCACCCGCGGCGGCCCGUGGGGCGGCGCGUGGCUAAUGGCCCACCAAUGUCAUUCUUAGCAUGUGUUUAAGGUUCUAGGUUCAGUUUUGAUAGUUGAUGGACGUAAAUUGAGUAAUUGAACCUAAGUUCGUUACGUUUCGUGGUUAGGCCCAAAAGGUGAAUCGAUGAUCCAACCAUCGGAUCGUCACCAAACUUUGAUACGUUGUAAUACGUAAUAUUUGAGGAUUAUAGGAACUUACGGAUCGGGAAUCCGAUUUACAUAUCUUUCAGAAUUGGAGUUGUAAGUUCAUAAAAUAGAAUGUUAACCGUCACUUGGUUAUGGAAAUUGACGGAGAUCCGACCGUUGGAUGGUAAUGAAAUUUUAGGAUGUUGUCCUAGAGGUAUAUUUUGGACCUCUGGAAGUUAUGGAUUUGAAAUCUGAGUUGCAGAUCUUCCGGAUCGAACUAUGUAGUGACGUGUUUUAUAUAAGUUAUAUAUUCUAUCAAUAUGAUUUCUAAGGUUGGAUUUGAUUAUUGUUCUAGGCACCGAUCGUCAUGACGCAUUGAUGUGUGGUGCUAGGGAGUUGUUGGGCGAACUCCAGGUGAGUGGGCAGUAUUUCUGUUUAUACCUAUAUAUUAUUGAUAUUUUUCCCAGAAAUUGAGUUUAAAUGAAAGUACGUUUUAAAAUGCCAUGCAUGCAUAUUAUGAAUUAUAUGAUUUGGUAUAUGAUGCAUAUAUGUGAAAUGGUGCUGUGGACGCACAAGUGAGUAUCAGGUGAGGUUUAUGUUGUUCAUGUGAUUUAUUGAUGAUGUGAAUUAUGUUGAGAGCUCACAACCUGCACCCCCAUUGUUAGUGCUUAUGUUAUUCACCCUGCAUCACACGCUCACCUUGGAUCCAAGUAGAUGCUAGUUGUACAGACCACUAGAGGUGGUUCCCACAUGCCAGUCGUACAGACCAUUAGAGGAGUUCUGACUGGUAAGUGACUUGAGAUUAUGUGCACAGAUGAUUGAUGAGAGAAGCACUAAAGCGUAUUAUUUCACCAUCUUAGUCGUACAGACUACUAUAGGUAGUUCCGACUUAUGUGCAGUGUAGUGCCGUACAGGUCGCAGUUGGUGACUCCGGCAGGGCCGUACAGGUCACAGUUGGUGACUCCGGCUGGAUGGGAUAUUGAGCUAUAGAAUCAGCCGUAUAGGACCACUAUAGGGUCUCCGGUUGAUUUAUUAUUUCACCUGAUUUAUAUUGAUGCAUUCAUAUUAAAUUUUGGUAUAUGGCAUGGCAUGGCAUAUUCUUUCUGAAAAGCGUUGAAGGAUUGUGAUUUGAGCUUUUGAUGAUAUAUAUAUGUUUAUAUACUUUUUUUUUUGGGAAAGUAUACAGGUUUUACGGCGAGGGGUUAGAAAUGUUUUAAAUGAAAUGUUUUCGAAAAACUUUGUUUUACUGACCCACUCAAUUUUGUUUUGUGCCCCUCCAGGUUCUAGAUAGCAGAGUUUUGGUGGCCACGAGGAAUCCAACGGUGUUCUGACAGAAUUCACAAAAGUAGGACUCACCCUCGGGUGUUUCAUCUUAAUAAUUGUAUUUUUAAAGCUUCCGAACUGUGUAAAUGGUUACGUCACUCUCACGUGACGGCCAUCAUGCCCUCCUUCGGGACGGG